Molecule: ribosomal RNA, 465 nt
Filed under: Vreelandella stevensii
Lineage: Bacteria; Pseudomonadati; Pseudomonadota; Gammaproteobacteria; Oceanospirillales; Halomonadaceae
Description: partial 16S ribosomal RNA
Rfam family: Bacterial small subunit ribosomal RNA
Source: RNAcentral
CCUACGGGUGGCUGCAGUGGGGAAUAUUGGACAAUGGGGGGAACCCUGAUCCAGCCAUGCCGCGUGUGUGAAGAAGGCCCUCGGGUUGUAAAGCACUUUCAGUGAGGAAGAACGCCUGGUGGUUAAUACCCAUCAGGAAAGACAUCACUCACAGAAGAAGCACCGGCUAACUCCGUGCCAGCAGCCGCGGUAAUACGGAGGGUGCGAGCGUUAAUCGGAAUUACUGGGCGUAAAGCGCGCGUAGGUGGCUUGAUAAGCCGGUUGUGAAAGCCCCGGGCUCAACCUGGGAACGGCAUCCGGAACGGUGGCACUAGAGAGCAGGAGGGGGAGGUAGAAGUCGCGGGGUAGCGGUGAAACGCGGAGGAGGAGAGAGGAAAGCGAGUGGCGAAGGGGGACUACUGGACUGAAACUGACGCUGAGGUGCGAAAGCGUGGGUAGCCGACAGGAUUAGAGACCCUAGGAGGA